ACGUUACCAACAGUCGGUUUUCCCAUUGAUCUGAGAGCUAACUGUACGCUAUCUGAGAUCAUCGUGAAAGCUAGUUGUCGGUUUACG
RNAcentral lists this microRNA precursor (87 nucleotides) under Caenorhabditis japonica. RNAcentral describes it as "mir-81 microRNA precursor family". It matches the Rfam family "mir-81 microRNA precursor family". The record is from Rfam by way of RNAcentral. Lineage: Eukaryota; Metazoa; Nematoda; Chromadorea; Rhabditida; Rhabditidae.